Molecule: long non-coding RNA, 309 nt
Filed under: Cricetulus griseus (Chinese hamster)
Lineage: Eukaryota; Metazoa; Chordata; Mammalia; Rodentia; Cricetidae
Description: lncRNA (ENSCGRG00000026293.1)
Source: RNAcentral
CCUGACUGUACUCAUCCUACCCCUAAGGCUGUGAUAUCAAAAUAUUUUAGGUAAGUUCAGAUGCAAGCCCAUGUCACCACUCUUGAGGAAGGAGAACUUCUGUGAAUGUAAAGCCACGUGAUCAGUUCUAUAGGUUGGCUCAGCAGAGCGACUCUUUGGGAAGAACUGGACCUGCAGUCUGUGUGUUCUUUGGGUUGCUGGCCACUUUGGGAAGACACCUAGAGUCAACAGAAGUAGGAAAUGGUGAGUGUGCCUUGGGAGUCUGGAUUCUUGGGUGGCGGGUAGCACCAACUCGUGGAAUUUUUCCUU